AUCACUCCUUGGCCUGUUGGCUAAGAUCAAGCAUAGUAUCUGAUCUGUUCUCCAAUCAAGGACAAUAUGUUAAAUGGAUUUUUGUAUCUGGGAGAUGGAAUAGGAACUUGUUCUUUCCACUCCACAGAAUGACUUGGUAUUGCAAUAUCUCUAGGAACAGUGCAUCCCUU
Small nuclear RNA from Heterocephalus glaber (naked mole-rat), 170 nucleotides. Its record names the gene U2. It matches the Rfam family "U2 spliceosomal RNA". From Rfam's summary of the family: U2 is a small nuclear RNA (snRNA) component of the spliceosome (involved in pre-mRNA splicing). Complementary binding between U2 snRNA (in an area lying towards the 5' end but 3' to hairpin I) and the branchpoint sequence (BPS) of the intron results the bulging out of an unpaired adenosine, on the BPS, which initiates a nucleophilic attack at the intronic 5' splice site, thus starting the first of two transesterification reactions that mediate splicing. NCBI's taxonomy places the organism in Eukaryota, Metazoa, Chordata, Mammalia, Rodentia, Bathyergidae. The record is from Ensembl.